Molecule: ribosomal RNA, 253 nt
Filed under: uncultured bacterium
Lineage: Bacteria
Description: partial 16S ribosomal RNA
Rfam family: Bacterial small subunit ribosomal RNA
Source: RNAcentral
UACGGAGGGUGCAAGCGUUAUCCGGAAUCACUGGGUUUAAAGGGUGCGUAGGCGGCUAGAUAAGUCAGAGGUGAAAGUUUGUCGCUUAACGAUAGAACUGCCUUUGAUACUGUUAAGCUUGAAAGUAGGUGAGGUUGGCGGAAUGUGACAUGUAGCGGUGAAAUGCAUAGAUAUGUCAUAGAACACCGAUUGCGAAGGCGGCCGGCUAACCUGUCUUUGACGCUGAGGCAAGAAAGCGUGGGUAGCAAACAGG